CAGGAUGCCAUGGUGGCUCAGGAGGGAAAGAAGAAGCCAUGCUAUGUGAUGUAUGGCACUGCAGCGAGGAGCAGGGCAGAGGUUGCAGGAAUGCUGUGUGGCUGCACACCUCAGCAAAAGGUGAGGAAGGAGUCGUGUGGAGUGACUCACACAAUUAAGGUUUGGCUUGGCUGAGUGGCAAGAUAACAACAUGAUUUUACCAUAAACAGGGCAAAUAUGAUAUUACUGUGGUAUAUGAGAUUCAAUUAAAUGACAACAUCAAUUAAACAGCUUCUAGAGCUUUUGUUUGGAAACUUGCAAGGCUUUUUUUCCUACAAAAGCUGUUCUUUGAGUAUCAACAAUUAGUUCCCCUGCAAAUGAGACUGCACAGCACAGGCUGUAACAUUCUAAGCUUCUGCUGAAAAGCUGGGUGUAAAUGAAUGGCUUGAACAGAGCAUAACCUUGGAAAUGCUUAGUGCUCAUCAGGCUGGAGGAGAGUGGACUCUGCAGGAGUCUUUGGACUCUCAUUUGCAGCACCUAUUAGUUAUGAUAGGGAUGGUUUCUUUCAGAUUUUGACCAGAAUUUUUUUCUUUGGCUGGAAAGGAAUUUCAAUUUAGUGGCAAGAGAGCAGAAAACCCUUAAGUGAACAAGCCUCCCUCCCAACAGGAUGACAUACAGACAAUUUGCAGUCUCCUUUUCAGAGAAUGCCUUGGCCCUGUGUUAUUUCAUUUGUAGUGUUUUUUUCUGAUGAGUUAAUCAAAACAUCUCAAUACCAUAGGUUUUAUUUGCUCUGAGACCACGCCCAUUUCCUGGAAAGCCUCAGCCUUCCUCCAAGACAGCAGUUGACAGCAGUUUUACCAUACACAAACACUCUCCAUAUCCCUCAAGGAAAGCACCUGUAAGCAGCAGCAAUGGCACCACUGUUCCAAGCUGGCAGCGAGCCUGCUCAGGGUAGUUUUACCUGUAGAGAUGAUAACUUUGUUUCAUCACUUUGUCCCCUCAGACCCCAGUCCCUUCACCCCUCAGUCACUUCAUCCCUCCAUCUUUCCAUUCCUACAUCCCCCCAUCCCUCUGUCGCUUCAUCCCUGCAUCCUUCCAUUCCUCAUUUCCUUCAUUCCUCAUUUCUUCCAUUUCUCAGUGUCUCCAUCUCUCCUUCUCUCCAUCCCUCCAUUCGUCUUAUCCCUUUCUCCCUUCUAUCCUUGUGUCCCAUCAUUCCUCCAUCCCUCCCGCCAUCCCUCCCUCCAUCCCCGUCCCUCAGCUGGGCGGGGCGAGCCCUCUGCAGUACUCAGCGCCCACCGCUAGGCCGCGCCAGUCCCAGGGUUGCUAUGGCGACGGCGGCGCUGCUCCCCGCGCAUGCGCGGCCAUUGCGACGGCUUCCGGUGGACCCGGGGAGGCGGCGGCGUCGCGAUGGAGCGGUUGGGGUCGGGGUCUGUGAGCGCCGUGCCUGUGGCCGAGUUCAGGCCGGAAGCGAUGAAAGUAUGUCAGUGUAA
Molecule: long non-coding RNA, 1469 nt
Filed under: Ficedula albicollis (Collared flycatcher)
Lineage: Eukaryota; Metazoa; Chordata; Aves; Passeriformes; Muscicapidae
Description: lncRNA (ENSFALG00000028570.1)
Source: RNAcentral